Molecule: ribosomal RNA, 535 nt
Filed under: uncultured archaeon
Lineage: Archaea
Description: bacterial SSU rRNA
Rfam family: Archaeal small subunit ribosomal RNA
Source: RNAcentral
GCGCGAAACCUCCUCAAUGCACUGAAGUGUGAAGGGGUUACCUCGAGUGCCAUCUGAAGAAGGUGGCUUUUCCUUGGUCUAAAUAGCCUUGGGAAUAAGAGGGGGGCAAGACUGGUGUCAGCCGCCGCGGUAACACCAGCCCCUCGAGUGGUGGGGAUGAUUAUUUGGCCUAAAGCGUCCGUAGCCGGCCGAGUAAGUUUCCCGUUAAAUCCAGCGUCUCAAGCGUUGGACUGCGGGAAAUACUGCCCGGCUAGAGAGUGGGAGAGGUGAGCGGUAUUCUGGGGGUAGGGGCGAAAUCCUUUGAUCCCCGGAGGACCACCAGUGGCGAAGGCUGCUUACUAGAACACGUCUGACGGUCAGGGACGAAAGCUGGGGGAGCGAACCGGAUUAGAUACCCGGGUAGUCCCAGCUGUAAACGAUGCAGGCUAGGGUGUUUGGACGGCCACGUGCCGUUCUAGUGCCGCAGGGAAGCUGUUAAGCCUGCCGCCUGGGGAGUACGAUCGCAAGAUUGAAACUUAAAGGAAUUGGCGGGGGA